UCCAAAUUUACUUGGAUAACUGUGGUAAUUCUAGAGCUAAUACAUGCCGACCAGCUCCGACCCUUCGGGGAAAGAGCGCUUUUAUUAGUUCAAAACCAGUCGGGUUCUGCCCGUCCUUUGGUGACUCUGGAUAACUUUGUGCCGAUCGCAUGGCCUCGAGCCGGCGACGCAUCUUUCAAAUGUCUGCCCUAUCAAAUGACGAUGGUACGUGAUCUGCCUACCAUGUUGGCAACGGGUAGCGGGGAAUCAGGGUUCGAUUCCGGAGAGGGAGCAUGAGAAACGGCUACCACAUCCAAGGAAGGCAGCAGGCGCGCAACUUACCCACUCCUGGCACGGGGAGGUAGUGACGAAAAAUAACAAUACGGAACUCUUUUGAGGCUCCGUAAUUGGAAUGAGUACACUUUAAACCCUUUAACGAGGAUCUAUUGGAGGGCAAGUCUGGUGCCAGCAGCCGCGGUAAUUCCAGCUCCAAUAGCGUAUACUAAAGUUGUUGCGAUUAAAAAGCUCGUAGUUGGAUCUCAGGCAUGGGCGCACGGUCCGCCUCGCGGCGGUCACUGUGUGUAUUGUUUCCCAUCCUACGCUUCCCGGUUGUUCAGCCCAUGGUGCUCUUCAUUGAGCGUUUUGGGUGGCCGGAACGUUUACUUUGAAGAAAUUAGAGUGUUCAAAGCAGGCACGUCGCCUGAAUAAUGGUGCAUGGAAUAAUGGAAUAGGACCUCGGUUCUAUUUUGCUGGUUUUCGGAACACGAGGUAAUGAUUAAGAGGGACAGACGGGGGCAUCCGUAUUGCGGUGUUAGAGGUGAAAUUCUUGGAUCAUCGCAAGACGAACAACUGCGAAAGCAUUUGCCAAGCAUGUUUUCAUUAGUCAAGAACGAAAGUCAGAGGUUCGAAGACGAUCAGAUACCGUCGUAGUUCUGACCAUAAACGAUGCCAACUAGCGAUUCGCUGGUGUUGCUUCAUCGACUCUGCGGGCAGCUUCCGGGAAACCAAAGUUUUCGGGUUCCGGGGGA
This 1007-nucleotide ribosomal RNA is filed under the name Penion sp. XMUB6491. RNAcentral describes it as "SSU rRNA". It matches the Rfam family "Eukaryotic small subunit ribosomal RNA", at positions 128 to 1121 of the family's 1831-position model. Lineage: Eukaryota; Metazoa; Mollusca; Gastropoda; Neogastropoda; Buccinidae. The record is from RNAcentral.